Molecule: ribosomal RNA, 488 nt
Filed under: uncultured bacterium
Lineage: Bacteria
Description: partial 16S ribosomal RNA
Rfam family: Bacterial small subunit ribosomal RNA
Source: RNAcentral
AUUGAACGCUGGCGGCAGGCCUAACACAUGCAAGUCGAACGGUAGCACAGAGAGCUUGCUCUCUGGUGACGAGUGGCGGACGGGUGAGUAAUGUCUGGGAAACUGCCUGCUUGUGGGGGAUAACUACUGUAAACGGUAGCUAAUACCUCCUAAUGUCGCAAUACCACAGAGGGGGACCUUCGGGCCUCUUGCCAUCGGAUGUGCCCAGAUGGGAUUAGCUUGUUGGUGAGGUAAUGGCUCACCAAGGCGACGAUCCCUAGCUGGUCUGAGAGGAUGACCAGCCACACUGGAACUGAGACACGGUCCAGACUCCUACGGGAGGCAGCAGUGGGGAAUAUUGCACAAUGGGCGCAAGCCUGAUGCAGCCAUGCCGCGUGUGUGAAGAAGGCCUUCGGGUUGUAAAGCACUUUCAGCGGGGAGGAAGGCAAUGCGGUUAAUAACCGUGUUGAUUGACGUUACCCGAAGAAGAAGCACCGGCUAACUCCGUG